GCGCUAUUGGAUGAGCCUACGUCGGAUUAGCUUGUUGGUGGGGUAAUGGCUCACCAAGGCAACGAUCCGUAGCUGGUCUGAGAGGACGAUCAGCCACACUGGGACUGAGACACGGCCCAG
This 120-nucleotide ribosomal RNA is filed under the name uncultured bacterium. Its description in RNAcentral is "partial 16S ribosomal RNA". It matches the Rfam family "Bacterial small subunit ribosomal RNA", at positions 215 to 334 of the family's 1533-position model. The record is from RNAcentral.